Carcharodon carcharias (great white shark) is the source of this 4662-nucleotide RNA transcript. It is a transcript of the gene named magnesium transporter NIPA2-like, with no coding region annotated. NCBI's taxonomy places the organism in Eukaryota, Metazoa, Chordata, Chondrichthyes, Lamniformes, Lamnidae. The record is from RefSeq and is a predicted model, not a curated record. The transcript has 7 exons.
UUUCUCGUUAUUGUCUCAUUUCCAUGUUUAUUUACCCCACAUAAAGGCUGACUUUGCCGAGGUGGCCAGUUGCAGAACCAGUUUGAGGAAAUUUGAUGCUACGGCUGCAGCGACUGUCAACAGAAGGGAAUCAUGUUCCUUUAAGGAAGAUGGUUGUGACACAUCAGCAAGGGGGUGGUUCUUUUAGGCAGGUGCUGAGGUGAAGCACAGGCGACUUCACAGUACAGCUCCCCGAGACAAAGACCAAGCUUGUGUGUUCCUGUUUUAAUGAGAAGCUGUACGAAGGCUUUAAACGAUGGAAGAAGCCAUUGUCAUGGCAGAACACAACUGCUCGAAGGGAUCAUAUGUGACAUUGAUGUGUCCUUCGACUUCCUGUGAGGCCUUGUGUCAGAUUGUCCAUGUGAAGGAUCUAGCCAGCUCUUCCCUGAAUGCAUCUUUGGCAAUGGAUCCAGAGGGGAGAUCUCCUGAUUUUUAUAUUGGCCUGGCCUUGGCCAUUUUCUCCAGCUGCCUCAUCGGUAUCAGUGUCAUUCUAAAGAAGAAAGGGCUGCUGCGUUUGGCUCAAAUAGGUGCUACCAGAGCAGGGGACGGUGGCCAUGGUUAUCUAAAGGAUUGGAUGUGGUGGGCUGGCCUUCUAACAAUGGGCAUUGGAGAAGCAAUGAACUUUGCUGCAUACGCAUUUGCUCCUGCAACAGUUGUCACUCCGCUUGGAGCGCUCAGCGUCCUGAUCAGUGCUGUGUUGUCUUCCUAUCUCCUACAAGAGAGACUGAAUCUGUUGGGGAAAUUGGGGUGUGUGCUCUGCAUUCUGGGGUCAACCGUCAUGGUGAUUCAUGCACCUCAAGAGGAGGAGGUGAAAACACUGGAAGAAAUGGCACUGAAACUCAAAGAACCAGGGUUCCUGGUGUUUGCUUGCCUCUUACUGAUCACAGUGCUCCUCCUCAUCUUCUACAUGGCCCCCAGACAUGGACAAACCAACGUCCUGGUCUACAUUGCCAUCUGUUCUCUGAUCGGUGCUUUCUCUGUCUCCUCUGUAAAAGGGAUCGACAUUUCCAUCCGAGGGUGCUUCGCCAAUCUCCCAGUGCAUAAACACCCAUUAACCUGGAUUCUCAUCUUCUCAUUGCUGGCCUCCAUCAUCACCCAGAUCAACUACUUGAACAAAUCCCUUGACAUUUUCAACACCUCAGUGGUCUACCCUAUUUACUAUGUGUUCUUCACCACUGUAGUUAUCACCACCUCAGUCAUUCUGUUCAAAGAGUGGUACAGCAUGUCUGCAAUCGACAUUGUGGGCACAAUCACUGGUUUUGGAACCAUCACUCUCGGUGUCUUCAUGCUUCAUGUCUUUAAAGACCUGAAUUUCAGCCUGAAGAACUUGCCAAAGACACUCAAGGCACAAGAGGGAGUCUGCGUCACUCCUAUGCUGAAAUUAGAUGACAAGCACAUCCUUAUAGAAAACACAGACAAUGCAGUGUUCACUGAGGAGAAACCCAGGGUCUUUGUUAUUUAUGGGUGAAAGUUUUAGGUUCAUAGACAAUCUUUAAAAAAAAAUGAGUGCUACUAUGAGAGCCAGUCUCAGGCAGAUUAUGAAACUAUUUAGUGUUUUGGUGCAGUGCCUCGACGUGUGAAUACACUGGUUUAUUCCAUGUGCCCAAUGACCCAGAAAUUUCACUGAUGAAAGGUCAGGUUAUUCCACAGGAUUUCAAUUCAGUUCCAAUCCAGAAGCUAUGUUACAGUUUGAGGUGACAGCUAAUCAUAGUCCGAGUCUGAUUCACAACGAUUCCCUCACAUCUCUUACACUUUACAGCCCGUUGUGACCAGUGCAAAAGUAUCUUGCAGUUUAAAUGGUGGGAUUAUAUCAAUGAUCAGCUCUACUCUGUCUCUGGUCAGGAUUGGAUGCUUGAAUGAAGUGCCAGUAUCAGACCAAUCAGCCCUGCAGUAUAAAUAAUCAUUCUUGGGUAAUGGGAAACUCUGUGACUUACCCAGUUUACUUGUGAAACUAGCCCAUUUUUCAUUUCAUUUCUAUCAAAAAAAAUGCAGUUUUAAAGUGUAAUUUUUUUUCCUGUCAGAGAUGAUUUGUUGACUUUCUUGUCAACGAGUCUUGGCUUUGGAUCCUAUUAUACUAUUUGCUCAUGGCUGGUUUUAAGUUCAUAAAAAAGUCAUCUUGUGUUGUUAGCUCAUCUUAAUCGAAGAGGUGGUACAUGUUCACCUUAAUACUCCAGGCUAGGGAGGGAAGAACCGCCAUUGUUCCUGCUGCUGAUCACUAACCAGCAUGUAAAGAAUGUAAUUCUGUUUUUGUUUUGGAUUUCCAGCAUCCACAGUUUUUUUGUUUUUGUUUUUAUCUCUGUAAAGAAUGUGUGUGUGUUUAUGUAAAUGCCACGUGAGGAAAGCAUCGGAUUUGGACUGACACCUACACAAAAAGCUGGAAAGCAUCGACCAGGGUUGGACUUAGCCCUAUACACCGUGACAGCAACAGGUAGUACUGCAUUCCCUCAGUAGUGCAUGGCUGUAUCAGCCGAGGUGAAACCCUAGGGCUUCAACUCACAACCUCUUCACUGACAGUGUGGGAGUGCUAUCCAUCGAGCCAAGACUGACAUAUUGUUGAGCUAUGUCAAGCCAACGCACACCUGCCUUUUCUCAACCCUCUAAUUCGUGCCUUGAUUUAGGACACUUCCAUAUACUCACUGCGUGUGGAAUAACUCAGCAAGUGACGCACCCCUUUCGAAGUAAAUUAGCUUUCCUCACCAGUGAUAUUUCAUUCAAUCUCAGUACCAUCAGAGGUUGGUGUACCAAAAUAUUAUCAGGGCUCCAAGGCUUAGAUUACAAGGAAAGAUUACAUAAUCUAGGUUUGUAUUUCCUGGAAUAUUGAAAGUUAAGGGGAUGAUUUGAUUGAGGAUUUUUCGAUUUUGAAAGGAUUUGAUAGAGUAGAUAGGGAUUCUAGGAUGAGAGGACAAAAUGUUAAAAUUAAGCCAAGGCAUUUCAGGAGGGAAAUUGAGAAACACUUGUUUACACAAAGUGUGGUAGAAAUGUGGAACUCCGUCCAACAAAAGUAGUGGAAUUUAACUCAAUUAAUAUAUUUAAAUCUGAGAUUGAUUAGAUUUUUACUAGACAAGGGUAUAAAAUGAUAGGGAGCCAAGGCAGGUAGAUAAUGUUAGGAUAAAGAGCAACCAUUAUUUUAUUGAAUGCAGGAACAGGUUUGAGGGGGCUGAAUGGCCUCAUUCUGUUCUUAUGUUCAUUCCUGCAAGUAAUCGUUCCAAUCUUGGUCACACUUGACUGUACAAUUGUCUUGGUCCAUUUCAGAUUACUUGAAGUUACUUUUAAAUUCUUAUUGCUGAUUUGUCCCAUGUUGAACAUGGGAAGCUAGAAUAUCAGAUGAAGAAUCUGUAGGUUUUUUAUGAUAGUGUGAAAACUGAUUUAACAGUUCCUUCAAGGCUCAAAGACUAAGGGGAUUUUAAAAAAAAAAUCAUUCUCUGGAUGUGGGCAUCACUGGCAAGCCUUGCAUUUAUCACCCAACCUUUGUUGCCUUGAAGUUGAUGGUAGAUCUUUUUCUUGAACUGCUGCAUUCCACGAGAUGAAGGUGCUUCUGCAGUGAUGUUGGGCAUUUUCUAUGAGUUUAACUGGGAGUCAAACUUCCAUCUGCUAUAAUUCGGUAGGGAACAGUGGCCAGAAUUUGCCUGCAAAACAGCAUCUAAUUUUUCUAUCCUUAGCCAUUCCUGGGAUGCAAUGCCUGUAAAUAUCAUUCAUUUACUUCAGAAUCUCCCCUGAUAUUAGCACUGUAGUCACAAAGUCUCGGUGGGUCAUUGGGCUAGCUGGUAAUAUUCAGACCAGGAAGUCCCCAAGUUCUAUCCCUGGGCUGGCCUGAGUUAGCAAAUCUCAGUCAGCCUAUUGGACUGGGAAGUAAAAGUCAGCCAGGGUUUCUGGUCUUGAUCACCAUCCAUAAAGAAAGGGGACUUGCACCCAUAGAGUAAAGAACAUUGGUAAAUGCAGGAAACGAUUUAAAGGAAUAAGGACUUAGCAGCAAAGAUAAGCAAAAGACUGCAAAUGACAGAAAUCUGAAAAGAAAACAGAAGAUGCUGGAAGAUCUCAGUAAGUCAGGCAGCAUCUGUUCAUGGAGGCAAAAAGUAAUUGAUCUGAAAUGUUAACGUUUCUCUACCCAUAGAUGCUGCCUGACCUACUGUGCAUUUCCCAUUUUUUUCUUCUAUUGAUUUUCAAGCGUAGUUCUGGUUUUGAAUGUGAACUCCAUUCUGUCUGGCACCAACUUUGAUCUCUGUUCCAAAGGUCCCUCAAUUCCGUUCCAGAUUCUGCAAUGUGGAUCAAUAUUUGCAUAUACACCGGGGAAAAUAUUUUGAUCACUUUCAAUCCUUAGUAAAUGAAUACACCCUGAAAGGACAGCAUAUUGGAACAAGGUGAAAACAGUCCAGUUGUAUUUUUCUAUUUUAUAUAUAUUUUUGUAACAUCGUUUUACUUAUUGUUUUUGUAAAGGUGAAUUAUAUGUCUCUGUUAAUGCAUUAUGAUUCCUUCAGUGCGGAGUGUAUUUAACAGCUGACUCAAAGUCAAACAGAAGCAAGCCAUAAAUGGAGCAGCCACAACAAAUGUUUGACACUAUAUUGUUAAAAAUUUCUAGAGAAUAAUAAAAAUCAACUAUAAUGUUUAAAUUUUCACAUGAAUUUA